This 439-nucleotide ribosomal RNA is filed under the name uncultured bacterium. Its description in RNAcentral is "partial 16S ribosomal RNA". It matches the Rfam family "Bacterial small subunit ribosomal RNA", at positions 338 to 795 of the family's 1533-position model. The record is from RNAcentral.
CCUACGGGAGGCAGCAGUGAGGAAUAUUGCACAAUGGGCGAAAGCCUGAUGCAGCAACGCCGCGUGAGCGAUGAAGGCCUUCGGGUCGUAAAGCUCUGUCCUCAAGGAAGAUAAUGACGGUACUUGAGGAGGAAGCCCCGGCUAACUACGUGCCAGCAGCCGCGGUAAUACGUAGGGGGCUGGCGUUAUCCGGAAUUACUGGGCGUAAGGGGUGCGUAGGUGGUUUCUUAAGUCAGAGGGUAAAGGCUAGGGCUCAACCGUAGUAAGCCUUUGAAACUGGGGAACUUGAGUGCAGGAGAGGAGGGUGGAAUUCCUAGUGUAGCGGUGAAAUGCGUAGAUAUUAGGAGGAACACCAGUUGCGAAGGCGGCUCUCUGGACUGUAACUGACACUGAGGCACGAAAGCGUGGGGAGCAAACAGGAUUAGAUACCCCAGUAGUC